GACGAACGCUGGCGGCGUGCCUAAUACAUGCAAGUAGAACGCUGAAGGAAGGAGCUUGCUCUUUCCGGAUGAGUUGCGAACGGGUGAGUAACGCGUAGGUAACCUGCCUGGUAGCGGGGGAUAACUAUUGGAAACGAUAGCUAAUACCGCAUAACAGUAGAUAUCGCAUGAUAGCUGCUUAAAAGGUGCAAUUGCACCACUACCAGAUGGACCUGCGUUGUAUUAGCUAGUUGGUGAGGUAACGGCUCACCAAGGCCACGAUACAUAGCCGACCUGAGAGGGUGAUCGGCCACACUGGGACUGAGACACGGCCCAGACUCCUACGGGAGGCAGCAGUAGGGAAUCUUCGGCAAUGGACGGAAGUCUGACCGAGCAACGCCGCGUGAGUGAAGAAGGUUUUCGGAUCGUAAAGCUCUGUUGUAAGAGAAGAACGAGUGUGAGAGUGGAAAGUUCACACUGUGACGGUAUCUUACCAGAAAGG
RNAcentral lists this ribosomal RNA (481 nucleotides) under Streptococcus infantis. Its description in RNAcentral is "bacterial SSU rRNA". It matches the Rfam family "Bacterial small subunit ribosomal RNA", at positions 28 to 491 of the family's 1533-position model. The record is from RNAcentral. Lineage: Bacteria; Bacillati; Bacillota; Bacilli; Lactobacillales; Streptococcaceae.